AGAGUUUGAUCCUGGCUCAGCCUGAACGCUGGCGGCGUGGCUAAGACAUGCAAGUCGUACGGUGUAGCAAUACACAGUGGCGAACGGGUGAGUAAUGAAUCGCUAACGUGCCCCGGACUCUGGGAUAGCUACCCGAAAGGNNNNNUAAUACCAGAUGAGACCACGAUCAGGCAUCUGAUUGUGCUCAAAGGUCCGCCGGUCUGGGAGCGGGCGAUUUCGUAUCAGCUAGUUGGUGAGGUAACGGCUCACCAAGGCGACGACGCGUAGCCGGACUGAGAGGUUGGCCGGCCACAUUGGGACUGAGACACUGCCCAGACUCCUACGGGGGGCUGCAGUAACGAAUCUUCCGCAAUGCACGAAAGUUGACGGAGCGACCCGCGUGUAGGACGAAGCCCUUCGGGGUGUAAACUACUGUCAGGGGUUAGAAAGUUCUGAUCAACCCCAGAGGAAGGCACGGCUAACUCUGUGCCAGCAGCCGCGGUAAGACAGAGGUGCCAAGCGUUAGGCGGAAUCACUGGGCUUAAAGCGUGUGUAGGCGGAUCGUUAAGUACCUUGUGAAAUCCCAUGGCUUAACCAUGGAACUGCUUGGUAUACUGGCGGUCUUGAGCCACUUAGGGGCUACCGGAACAAAUGGUGGAGCGGUGAAAUGCGUAGAUAUCAUUUGGAACGCCAAUGGUGAAAACAGGUAGCUGGGAGUGGCUGACGCUGAGACACGAAAGCCAGGGGAGCGAACGGGAUUAGAUACCCUAGUAGUCC
RNAcentral lists this ribosomal RNA (756 nucleotides) under uncultured bacterium. RNAcentral's name for it is "bacterial SSU rRNA". It matches the Rfam family "Bacterial small subunit ribosomal RNA", at positions 8 to 796 of the family's 1533-position model. The record is from RNAcentral.